This 2107-nucleotide long non-coding RNA is filed under the name Pelobates cultripes (western spadefoot toad). Lineage: Eukaryota; Metazoa; Chordata; Amphibia; Anura; Pelobatidae. The record is from RNAcentral.
GCUACUCUGAGGACUCAGAUCCCCUCUGUGAGCACACUGUCAGUCUCCAUGCUUGCUGACUGUGAGCCCAGCUUCACUUCCUACUCACACACAGCGGUGACGUCAUCCCCCCUCCCCCCUGUGCAGAGACAGAGCACAGUGUAUUCUCAGUGAACGGAGUGUGAGUGCUCACUGAACGGAGUCUGUGUCUCCAGGCAGGCAAGUUAUAUACACUACAACUGGGGGGAGGAGGGGCUGAGGCAGGAGUAAAGGGGGGCAGCAUGGAGGGAGAGAGAGAAGGAGAGGGGGAACAUGGAGGCAGAGAGAGGAACAGCAUAGGGGGAGAGAGCAGCAUGGAGGGAGAGAUGGGGAGGGGCAGCAUGGAGGGAGAUGAUGGGAGGGGGCGGCAUGGAUGGAGGGGAGAUGGGGAGGGGGCAGCAUGGAGGGAGAGAUGGGGGAGGGGGCAGCAUGGAGGGAGAGGGGGGCAGCAUGGAGGGAGAGAUGGGGAGGGGGGCAGCAUGGAGGGAGAGAAAGAGAUGGGCAGCAGGGAGGAUUCUGAGUCAUUAAUGGAAUGCUGCCACUAGUCAGACAAUUAGUUUAAAUUGGGAAGUAUAACUAAAUGAUAUGGUAGAGGGUGAUACAGAUAUUCUGUGGGUUGUGUGGAGUGUGGAUCAUUAUUAUUUAAUGUAUAACCUAUCAUUGUUGCAUAUACUGCAGACACAUGGCAUUUUUCAUGGUUAACUCAUCAAUGGAAGGGUUACAUGUUUAAGUUAGGACAAAGCAUGUGUUGCCUGUCAAUCAAAGGGUUAACAAGAAACCCUGACUUUGUACUUUUGAAGCUAGCAAUAGAUAGUGUCUGCUGACUGCAGCUACAUACCAUACAUUACAUCAUAUAGCAGGGAGCAUGUGAGAGCAAUUUUGGGAGAAAGAUACAGCUAUAUAAACGUGUAAAAGGACAGUCAGACCUCCUCAUUCAUCCAUAGUGCACACAUCCUGCAGUCAUUCUUCACACCAAUUCUCUUUGUAAGAUUAUUAACCCCUUCAGGACGGAGUCAAUAGUGCACGUUCUGAUCAAAACAAAAUGUUAACAAAAACUAUAAUUUACUCUUUAUAUCUGUUCAACCGUAAUUCACCUCUUUCAUAUUACGUGCACCCACACUUAUUAUAAGAAAAAACAACAAAAGGGGGAAACCUUCUAGGGAGAGAGUGUCAGGUUACUCAAUUAGUGAGAGGGGUAACCCCUAGGAUUGAAUUGGCUUAAAGAAAAGAAUAAAGAAACCAUGUAGGGGAUCAACACUCAUGGACAAGGAGUAACCCUAAUAAAACAUCACUUUUAAUAAAUAGAUCACAAAAUCCCUAACUGAAAAAAGAGAAUUAUGUAGAUGUAUAUCUAUAAUAGGAUGAAUCCUACAAUAAUAGUAAGAAAAAUAAUAAUAAAAUGAAAUGUACAAAAUCAAGAAAAUAUAAAUAGAUUAAUGUUUUAUUAGAAAUAAAGAAAAAAUCCAGAGACUAUCCACUCUAAAACUGUGGACUGUAUAUGUCAGUCAAACUGGAAAGUUACAAUAUGUAAAAUAACAAAAUUGUAGCGAUGGAGACAGUGCUCAUCUAAUAGUUUAAAGUUAAUCAAAGAUGGUAUAAAAGUAUCCAAUUCUCAGUUUAAUGGGAUAAGGGGGGCCAGUGGUAACAGGGUUUUAACACUAUAGAGUCAGGAAUAAAAAGCUAUACAUGCGAUAAGCUAAGAAUGACCAGGAAACAAAUAUCUGUCGGUGACAUCUAAUCAUACCUUAAAAGAGCCAUAGUCACCAAUAUUGAAGGGUCGUAAAUCGCCGGUUAUAAUGGAAAACACUGAGAGAACAUAUGUUGUAAAUGGUAGAGUUAAUUUCCAGAUAAAUAAUUAAACCGCAGUUGCUGUUUUUAGAUUGAUGGUUUGUAACAGUCGAAAUAAUGUGUGAAUAAUAUAUUUAGGAACAAUUUGAGUUUGAGAAAGUGGCCGUUUACUUCUGCAAGCCGGACUGACAUGUCAUGAUUCCCUUUUAUUCCAGAAGUUUGUCCCUUAAGGAGUUAAAUCAAGAAUACAAGAAGCUGUGCAGGCAUCUAAUGAGAACUACCAGACCCUCUGCUAUCUGGG